RNAcentral lists this small RNA (871 nucleotides) under Arabidopsis thaliana (thale cress). Its description in RNAcentral is "ATSL036820". Lineage: Eukaryota; Viridiplantae; Streptophyta; Magnoliopsida; Brassicales; Brassicaceae. The record is from RNAcentral.
UUGGGAGGAAAUGGUUAUAAUUGUUGUCUAAACACUUCUUGUCCAUCCCUAACUCUUAUAAUUAUUCAAUUGCAUUGGAUUGUGACACAUUUUGACAAUAGAAACACUAACAAAUCUAUUGACUGCUUCUGAGCAAGUUUUGUUUGUUUUAGCCUCUUUUGGGAGAAAAUGGGUAUAAGUGUUGUCUAAACACUUCUUAUAAAUCUCUAACUCUUAUAAUUAGUCAAUUGCAUUGGAUUGUGACACAUUAUGACCAUAGAAAAACUAACAAAUCUAUUGACUGCUUCUAAGCAAGUUUUGUUGGUUUUAGCCUCUUUUGGGAGAAAAUGGGUAUAAGUGUUGUCUAAACACUUCUAAUCCAUCUCUAACUCUUAUAAUUAGUCGAAUGCAUUGGCUUGUUAUACCUUUUGACCAUAAAAACACUAACAAAGCUAUUUAUUGCUUCUAAGCAAUAUUUUGUUGGUUAUAGCUUCUUUUGUGAGUAAAUGGGUAUAAGUGUUGUCUAAACACUCCUAAUCCAUCGCUACCUCUUAUAAUUAGUCAAAUGCAUUGGAUUGUGACACAUUUUGACCAUAUAAACACUAACAAAUCUAUUGAGUUGUUCUAAGCAAGUUUUUUUUGGUUUUAGCCUCUUUUGGGAGGAAAUGGGUAUAAGUAUUGUCUAAACACUUAUUAUCCAUCUCUAACUCUUAUAUUAGUCAAUUGCAUUGGAUUGUGACACAUUUUGACCAUAGAAGCGCUAAUAAAUCUAUUGACUGCUUCUAAGCAAGAUUUGUUUGUUUUAGCCUCUUUUGGGAGAAAACGGGUAUACGUCUUAGCUAAAGACUCCUAAUCUAUCUCUAACUCUAUCAUUAGUCUAAUGCAUUUGAUU